CAGCCGCCGCGGUAAAACGUAGGUGGCAAGCGUUGUCCGGAAUUAUUGGGCGUAAAGGGCUCGCAGGCGGUUUCUUAAGUCUGAUGUGAAAGCCCCCGGCUCAACCGGGGAGGGUCAUUGGAAACUGGGAAACUUGAGUGCAGAAGAGGAGAGUGGAAUUCCACGUGUAGCGGUGAAAUGCGUAGAGAUGUGGAGGAACACCAGUGGCGAAGGCGACUCUCUGGUCUGUAACUGACGCUGAGGAGCGAAAGCGUGGGGAGCGAACAGGAUUAGAUACCCGUGUAGUCCCUGUCUCUUAUAU
Molecule: ribosomal RNA, 301 nt
Filed under: uncultured bacterium
Lineage: Bacteria
Description: partial 16S ribosomal RNA
Rfam family: Bacterial small subunit ribosomal RNA
Source: RNAcentral